ACCUACUGUUUAAUUUUGAGGGUUCGUUUUUACGAAUACUCAAAAUUAGCACUUUAAGCAACGGGAUUUAUCCGUUGGCGCCGUGCUUUAGCACUUUAAGCAACAGAAUAAACUGAACGCAUGUGAAGUUUGUUUGUUGGCGCUGUGCGUUAGCACUUUAAGCAACGGGAUUUAUCCGUUGGCGCUGUGCGUUAGCACUUUGAAAACUGCAUAUAUAUUUAGUGAUAUGACAUCUAAUUUGUAAUAUAUAAAGCUGAUAACUUUUAAAAUUAUCGAAGUUGAUAGCUUCUAAUCUAUCAAAACUUUUUAACUGGUCA
RNAcentral lists this unclassified non-coding RNA (317 nucleotides) under Clostridioides difficile. RNAcentral's name for it is "16S-23S ribosomal RNA intergenic spacer (ISR)". The record is from RNAcentral. Lineage: Bacteria; Bacillati; Bacillota; Clostridia; Peptostreptococcales; Peptostreptococcaceae.